GGUUAGCUCAGUCGGUAGAGCAUGAGACUCUUAAUCUCAGGGUCGUGGGUUGUCCUUCAAACACGAUGUCAGAAUUGUCUGAAACUAGUUACAUACAUAUUGAGUUGCAAUCCACACCUAUCCA
Molecule: non-coding RNA, 124 nt
Organism: Merluccius polli (Benguela hake)
Lineage: Eukaryota; Metazoa; Chordata; Actinopteri; Gadiformes; Merlucciidae
Source: the annotation of a GenBank genome assembly